AAAACUCAUGAGUUCCCGUUACCUGAUGCCAUACGACCCUUUAACUUCACUAAUAGUUCUGGUCUUAGAUAUGAAGCAAUGGAAGUUAGAGAAUGCCUACAGAAAGGAAAACUGGAGAGUUCUAUUUUACCUCUUAAAGAUUCAGAAACUCAUGCAGAAUUAAUGGA
Parasteatoda tepidariorum (common house spider) is the source of this 167-nucleotide non-coding RNA. The record is from RefSeq and is a predicted model, not a curated record. Lineage: Eukaryota; Metazoa; Arthropoda; Arachnida; Araneae; Theridiidae.